RNAcentral lists this ribosomal RNA (497 nucleotides) under uncultured bacterium. Its description in RNAcentral is "partial 16S ribosomal RNA". It matches the Rfam family "Bacterial small subunit ribosomal RNA", at positions 28 to 507 of the family's 1533-position model. The record is from RNAcentral.
GAUGAACGCUUUCUUCUUUCCUAAUACAUGCAAGUCGAGCGAACGGACGAGAAGCUUGCUUCUCUGAUGUUAGCGGCGGACGGGUGAGUAACACGUGGAUAACCUACCUAUAAGACUGGGAUAACUUCGGGAAACCGGAGCUAAUACCGGAUGAUAUUUUGAACCGCAUGGUUCAAAAGUGAAAGACGGUCUUGCUGUCACUUAUAGAUGGAUCCGCGCUGCAUUAGCUAGUUGGUAAGGUAACGGCUUACCAAGGCAACGAUGCAUAGCCGACCUGAGAGGGUGAUCGGCCACACUGGAACUGAGACACGGUCCAGACUCCUACGGGAGGCAGCAGUAGGGAAUCUUCCGCAAUGGGCGAAAGCCUGACGGAGCAACGCCGCGUGAGUGAUGAAGGUCUUCGGAUCGUAAAACUCUGUUAUUAGGGAAGAACAUAUGUGUAAGUAACUGUGCACAUCUUGACGGUACCUAAUCAGAAAGCCAAGGCUAACUACGUG